AAAUGCAGCAAUAGGUUUAGUGAGGAUGGAUGACUGCCAACUUCUUUCCAUUUUCUUACUGGACAUUAAAUCAGAUUAUGCCCCAGUCUCCCAUGCAAAUAGAUGCAACCAUGUAACAGAGUUGUGGCCAACGGAAUGGGCAGAAGUAACAUGGGCCCUGCCAGCUGCUGCUGCCCCCGAGACAGUAAGACCGACUCCUCCUCUUUCUCCUCCUCUUCAUCCUACUCUAUGUGAAGACAAGAAUGAAGAUCUUUGUGAUGAUCCACUUCCAAUGAAUGAUUACUAAGAGUAUCCACAUGACCUGGACCUGGGUGAGUGGGUCCUAGAAAAAUUUUUGCUUUCUUACUACUCUUCCUUCUUCUCACUGGAAUGUAAAUGUAAAGGGUGGAGCUCAGCAGCCAUCUUGCUAUCACAAAAGAAAGACUGAGAGAACAGCAAAAGAGUUGACCUUAAUGUUGUUGAACCACUGAAUCAAUGCUGUAAACAAUCUAUCUCCAAAAUUCUUGGUAUGUGAGAAACUAAACUACUGUUUAUUUAAGUUGGGUUGUCUGUUU
RNAcentral lists this long non-coding RNA (554 nucleotides) under Pan troglodytes (chimpanzee). RNAcentral's name for it is "lincRNA". The record is from RNAcentral. Lineage: Eukaryota; Metazoa; Chordata; Mammalia; Primates; Hominidae.